RNAcentral lists this transfer RNA (103 nucleotides) under Lentinus tigrinus ALCF2SS1-7. RNAcentral describes it as "tRNA-Pro". It matches the Rfam family "tRNA". Rfam says of the family: Transfer RNA (tRNA) molecules are approximately 80 nucleotides in length. Lineage: Eukaryota; Fungi; Basidiomycota; Agaricomycetes; Polyporales; Polyporaceae. The record is from RNAcentral. RNAcentral also lists the same sequence under 1 other name.
GGCCCAAUGGUCUAGUAGUAUGAUACGUGCUUCGGGUGGUUUACCCGGUACAUUGAGUACCUGAGAGUGCACGGGGUCCCGGGUUCAAUUCCCGGUUGGGCCC